GACGAACGCUGGCGGCGUGCUUAACACAUGCAAGUCGAACGGAAAGGCCUCUUUCGGGGGGUACUCGAGUGGCGAACGGGUGAGUAACACGUGAGUAACCUGCCCUUGACUUUGGGAUAACUUCAGGAAACUGGGGCUAAUACCGGAUAGGAGCUCCUGCUGCAUGGUGGGGGUUGGAAAGUUUCGGCGGUUGGGGAUGGACUCGCGGCUUAUCAGCUUGUUGGUGGGGUAGUGGCUUACCAAGGCUUUGACGGGUAGCCGGCCUGAGAGGGUGACCGGCCACAUUGGGACUGAGAUACGGCCCAGACUCCUACGGGAGGCAGAAGGGGGGAAUAUUGCACAAUGGGUGGAAGCCUGAUGCAGCAACGCCGUGUGCGGGAUGACGGCCUUCGGGUUGUAAACCGCUUUCGCUCAUGACGAAGCUUUGUGUGACGGUAGUGGGUAAAGAAGCACCGGCUAACUACGUG
RNAcentral lists this ribosomal RNA (467 nucleotides) under uncultured bacterium. RNAcentral describes it as "partial 16S ribosomal RNA". It matches the Rfam family "Bacterial small subunit ribosomal RNA", at positions 28 to 507 of the family's 1533-position model. The record is from RNAcentral.